AAAUCUAUACAUUUUAUAAUUUAAAACAUGUCUUCUGAGCGUAGGUGUGGACAAAAAAGGAAGAUGAGGUGGUAAAUAACGUGCAGCGGGGUGUAGGUAUCUUUUUCAGCGUGUUCCCCACUCGAAGACUCAAGUGAGUUGUUUGAGCAUCGAAGCAUCAGCGAUUCCCAUGGGUCUAUUUAUUUGAGGCCACCACCAUCUUCAAUCUAGAUAAAAAAAAUUCCACUCUCUUAUGGUUUGUGUAUCUUUGAAGAGAUGAGAGGUAAAGGGAAGCAAAGUUUGGGGAAGGCAUAGACUUGGGGGAGUAGGGAAGAGAAGGUAACCACAAUCUUAAUAUUUAUUGGAUAUUUCAGUCUUGUGUAUCAUACACUCAUUGUUGGAUAUUUCGAGCAACAGAAGCUUGACGAAGCUCUCAAGUAAUUGACUCAGAUGAAGGAUUUUAUUAGUGUCUUCCGCACCAAUCUUGAUGAAUAUCACAAGUUGAUCCACUCUCUUCGCUUGAAGGCCAUGGAUAGGAAAAUUGAAAGAGAUCAACUAGAGGAAUUGAGGCCUAUAGAUAGGAAAAUGGCAAAAGAGCAGCUAUAUGAAAUGAAUCUUAAUAUUAGGGCAUCAGUAUGAUUGGAGGUUCGAAUAUUAAUGCAAAAAUAAUGGAGUGGAAAAAAUAGUAAUUAGGACUUGGGAGUUAGCUAAAUUAUUUAUGUUUUUUUUUAAAUAUAUUAUUAUUAUUAUAUUGAAAUCAGUCUAAGUUGACUAUGUUUUAUGCGUUUGGAUAUACUUUUCCUACACCGAUAGAAAACUACUAAUGUGUUAAAAUGCUUAAUAUUUUUUAAAGCUUCAUACUUACUAAAUUAAACUAUCAUACCCUUAAUUAAUCUUAAUUUAUCUUCAAUCCAAAAUAUGAUCUCAUCACUUCGCUCUCCACCUGUUUGUCCCUCCAAUUUUCUCAAGGUUAAUUUCAUUACUACUUGAUAAAUGUCAUACAUAGUUAGUUGCAUUCCUUGUACAUAGUGAGUUUAUUUAUGUUGAGAAGGUUUAUAGAUUUUACUUC
Molecule: non-coding RNA, 1048 nt
Organism: Cicer arietinum (chickpea)
Lineage: Eukaryota; Viridiplantae; Streptophyta; Magnoliopsida; Fabales; Fabaceae
Source: RefSeq, a predicted model, not a curated record